GUGGGGCACAGACGGUGGACGGUCCCAGUCGGUGACCUGACCUCGCCCGAGGCUGUCCCGGGUCAGUCCUCUGGUGGUGGAGGGUCCAGACGAGGCGCAAACGGCCGCGAGUGCUGGUUUGUGCCGGGACGGCCGAACGGGCUGGGCGUGUGUGCAACUCUAACGUGUGGCAUCGGGAGGCUGUCAGCUCUGGCUUUGUGAGCCCUUUGCGAGAGCUUCGCCGAGUGGGUGAGAUGGAAAAAGAAGACCUUGCAAAGGAAGGAGGCGGCGCCGCCGACAAGAAGGAUGACGACAGCAAGGGCGUCAAGCUGCAGGCCAAGAUGAGUCUGCUCAAUGGAAUCACGGUCAUCGUGGGCUCCAUCAUCGGCUCCGGCAUCUUCAUCUCGCCGACUGGCGUGCUGGAGAACACGGGCAGCAUCAAUCUCUCGCUGGUUGUCUGGGUAGCCUCGGGCGUUUUCUCCAUGGUGGGCGCCUACUGCUAUGCCGAGCUCGGCUGCAUGAUCAACAAGUCUGGCGCCGACUACGCCUACAUUAUGGACACCUUCGGCCCCUUCCUGGCGUUCAUGCGACUCUGGGUGGAGUGCAUGAUCGUCCGACCGUGCUCGCAGACGGUCGUGGCUCUGACGUUCUCCGUCUACGCCCUGAAGCCGUUCUACCCGACCUGCGAGCCGCCGUACACCAGCGCUGCGCUCCUGGCUGCCGUCAGCAUCUGCGUGCUGACGUUCGUCAACUGCUACAGCGUGACGUGGGCUACGCGCGUGCAGGACAUCUUCACCUUCGCCAAGCUGCUGGCCCUGGUCAUUAUCAUCAUCACCGGCAUCUACAUGCUGGCUCUGGGAGAGACUGCUAACUUCACCUGGGACAAUACUCAGACGGAUGUCACCAAGAUCGCUUUAUCAUUCUACUCGGGCUUAUUUGCAUAUAAUGGCUGGAACUACCUGAACUUCAUCAUUGAAGAGCUGAAGGAUCCUGUCCGUAACCUGCCGCGCGCCAUCGCCAUCUCCAUCAUCUUGGUGACGCUGGUGUACGUGCUGACCAACAUCGCCUUCUACACCACCCUCAGCCCCAUGGAGGUGCUCUCCUCCAACGCUGUCGCCGUGAGUUUCGCUCAGGUGCACUACGGCUACAUGGCGUGGAUAAUUCCGAUGUUUGUGGCCAUGUCCACCUUCGGAGGCCUCAACGGUAUCCUGCUCACCAGCUCCAGAUUGUUCUAUGCCGGAGCUCGCGAGGGCCAGAUGCCAGAGAUUCUGACCAUGAUCCAGGUCAACCGGCUGACCCCGGCCCCCGCUGUCCUAUUCGUGGCUCUGCUCUCGCUCGUAUACCUGACGUCAUCUGAUAUUUUCGCCCUCAUCAACUACGUCGGUUUCGCGACAUGGCUGAGCAUUGGCGCUGGCGUGCUCUGUCUGCCCGUGCUGCGCUGGACGCAGCCCAACCUGGUCAGACCCAUCCGCGUCAACCUCUUCUGGCCCAUCAUCUACAUCAUCGCCACCAUCUUCAUCACUAUCAUGCCGAUGAUCGCCAAGCCCGUUGAGACAGGGUUCGGCCUCAUCAUCAUUUUGAGCGGCGUGCCCGUCUACCUAGUGUGCAUUGCGUGGAAGAAGAAGCCAGCAGUUAUCAACAAGUCAAUCGCGGCGGCCACGCGUCAGGUUCAGAAGCUAAUGAUGGUGGUCGGGGAGGAAUAGCAGACACACUGUUUGACCCGCGGUCAUCCGACCGGCCGCGCGCUGGGGAGAGCCGCCCAUCGGUGAGCCUUCACUCGUCUCCUGCAGAAGGUCCUGGUUGUGCUUCCCGAGAACCAGUGAUAACAUGACACACACACACGUCUUCUCUCUCGUCGGCGGCCAUGUUUUCGGCGGCACGCGCUGCCGUCCUACGACGGUACCGGCAAGUUCAGCGCCCUCUAUACAAUCUGGUCGAGCACAUCAGAGACAUCUAGCGUCCAAGCGACGCCAUGGCUUAGCUAGUGUUAGCGGUCAGUGUUGAUGUCUUCCGGCGUGCGGGCUGUCAGUGUCUCCUCCCGGUAGCCGAGGACGUUGUGCUGGUAGUGGCCCAAGGUCGUUCGUCGAUAUGUCAUAUGUUAAUCUGUGCCGUUGACAGGUAGUUCACCAUGUCGGUGGCCUGUACGCGGAGAUUGCGCAGUCAAAAAUGGCUAAAUUCUAGGACUGCGCUCUCUGUGGAGUGAACUUUAGCCAAUGUUGGUGUGUGUCGCGGCGUAUGCAUGGUUAGUUGGGUAGGUGGCGCUCUUGUCGUUGCCGUGACGGCUGUGCCAUGGGAGGGGCACCAGCGCACACUGGUCGGAAACGCCCUCACGAGAGGCCACGGGCGAUUCCGGAGUUUCGGAUUAUUUUUUAUAUAGAUCGAUUUGAAAAUGAUCAAAUUAUUAUACUUAGGCCAAAAAAACUAAUCCGGGUGACCAAAAAUAGCUGUAAUCAGCCCCCGAAGAUGGGGUAUCCCAGAACUCGGAAACUGACGCGGAGCAAGAGGUUUCUUGAGCCGGAUAUUCAAAGUCUUAUUGCUGAUAGACACCAAAUUGAAAUCCCACAUAUUAUGCAUCAAAAUGUUCGUUAUGAAGUUGCCGACUGGUCAGUGCAAAAUUUUUGGUAUACUUUUUCCCUAACUAAGAUGUACUAUAGCUUUUUAUGAAGGCUCUCCUACAGUGAUUCUGGAAUAUAACUGCAAAGUUUAGGUAAGGAAACAACAGGUAGUCCCAUCUAGUUCCACUCUGAUUUUUUGUGAGAUGAAGUAGAAUUUAAAUUUACACCAGGGCAACAUAAAAGCUAACUGCGCAUAUUUGCGCAAAAUUUGCAGGAGCCGCUAUUCCUACCCGAUUACCGCCCGCCCCGCCCCAGUUUCGGCUCGGCCGCCGCGCCCGGCUUACGCUGACCUGUGUGGCCUGCACGCAUCCAUGCGUAGUUGACUGGACAUUAAAAACAGAUGCGCUUGAGUUUAUGAAUUGUGAAAAGCGCGUUUUAUGUAUGCAUUUAUGUAUGUAUUGACAUCAAAAGCCUUCCACAUUUUGCGUGGCGAUUACGGCUUGCAUUUAGAGAGCCUUGCUAUUGACAACCAUCACUCGGCUGAAGAAAGUGGAAAUUGAAACCUUCGUGAAUAUAAGACGCUGCAAAUAUAGGACACCUGUCACUGACGUCGGGUUACCUUGGGCCGUCUUUUAACAUUAGAUCACAAUUCCGGUAUUUAACCCUG
RNA transcript from Amphibalanus amphitrite, 3201 nucleotides. It is a transcript of the gene named Y+L amino acid transporter 2-like, with no coding region annotated. The transcript has 14 exons. The record is from RefSeq and is a predicted model, not a curated record. NCBI's taxonomy places the organism in Eukaryota, Metazoa, Arthropoda, Thecostraca, Balanomorpha, Balanidae.